RNAcentral lists this non-coding RNA (310 nucleotides) under Pan troglodytes (chimpanzee). RNAcentral's name for it is "sense intronic". The stretch from base 237 to 303 matches the Rfam family "Small Nucleolar RNA SNORD64". RNAcentral also lists the same sequence under 1 other name. Lineage: Eukaryota; Metazoa; Chordata; Mammalia; Primates; Hominidae. The record is from RNAcentral.
CUUCAUGUAGAUUGCUGUGUGUGUCUUUUUCUUCAUAAUUCCCCUUAAUUCUGUGUGCUUUGAAUGACACUGUUGUUGUUACUGUUGUUUUAUAUCCAUUGUCACAUAAAACUCUUAUCAUUUAUUCUUCCAGGCCAGGGACUGUCCUUAUGGGUAGAGAUACACUAUCUGCAGGAAUUUAUUUUUUUACGUAUUUUUACUAGUUGAUGGGAAAGACAUUGGGAAAGACCUGGGCUGGAUUUGUGAUGAGCUGUGUUUACUGAGCAUGAUGAAGUAAAGCUCAACGUGAUUACUCUGAAGUCCAGCCUUA